This 8397-nucleotide long non-coding RNA is filed under the name Triticum aestivum (bread wheat). RNAcentral's name for it is "long non-coding RNA (TAES_LNC003139)". Lineage: Eukaryota; Viridiplantae; Streptophyta; Magnoliopsida; Poales; Poaceae. The record is from RNAcentral.
UCUCGAAUGUAGGAGCAGCACUCCCAAUUUCACUCAUCAUGAAACCUAGAAUCUAAAGCUAACACCGCAAGAUAUGGAGGAAGCUAAAUAAAACAGAUCAAUUGAAGUACUUUUUCUGUUUUCAGGUAGUUGAAAUUGCUCACAAAUCACAAUAACAUGACCUUGAAUUCAGAUUUUUCCGGAGGUACAGCCCAGUAAAGUCGCUUCUUCUGAUACUAAGAGUAUUCUACAAGUCAACAUGUACAAAAUAGACUUACUAAGUAAUAACCCCAUAGAAUCACUGUAUCCAUAUAAAGAUAAAGAGGAAUAUCUUAUACAACAAAAAUCCAGUUCUGUAGAACUUAUUAAAACUUAAAUAAAGAUGCAGGAUGCCGUCCACAGCACAAGUCAACAUCAUGUACGAAUGAUCCCAUGUCACAAUUGAGUCAGGCAGAGCAGGGAAUUUGCCAAGCCCCGGACCGGGUACUGGGCCAUUGUGGGCUACGAUGAAAUAUAUCCUUGAUUAGACUCACGGUAAAAAAAAACUGGGCUUAAAUUCCUAGAAUUGCCUCUGCCCAGUGCAUAUCUCGCCUAAGCACACUUUAAGCUUAAGGUCAGGCAUUCUGCUAACACCUAGCGCCUAGGCACAAGCUUAAGCACACACCUAGCAGCCCUUCCCUUUUUUUAUCAUUGGUUGGACCCAAAACCAGAAGCAAAUGCUAAAGGAAAAAAAAUAAGCCAUGGCUGCCGGCAUUGUUUCCCGACCAUGAGUGACAAUUGCUUACAGUUUUUUUUUCACCCUGUUUCCUUUAAUUCAAAGGAAGGCAGAACACCAGCUAGAUUUCUGGAGUAAAUAAAAUGAGAAUAAGUAAGACCAAAUCUGGAAAGAAAACAAAUGUAUCAUUUUGAGCUAGAACCUAGGAAUAACUAUGGCCAGACACCCCUUAUCAAUCAAAAAAUCACACAUGCCCAAAAACGCUUCUAUGGCACAUACCCAAACAGGCAAGUGGUAGUAAUGCCACCAUCCAAAUAUAUAUGUAGAUUCCACCUGAUUACAGAAGGACUCUGACAUCAGUAUUAUUUGAUAUGGGUCAUUUAGUAGUUCAAUUAUACAACCUAGUUGUUUCCCACUUAAUUAUUUGCAGUAUUGUUUGUCUGAUUCCAUAUGAAGAGUAUGCUGAAGGCAUACACCGAAUGUAGGCACGUGAUUCCGUGCUAAUUAUGCCAGGUAAAUCCUCACACAUCCAAAUCUAUCUUUAACUUCAACCUGAUUGCCCAAAGACUGUUAGCCUAACAUAAAUAUUCUUUGAAAUAUGCCACUAGUAAGUUGUACUCAGUUCUCUUAUUGCAGUCAGGACAUAUGUUUUUUUUAACUUAAUUAUUUGCAUUAUUGUUCUUCCCGAUUCAAUACAGGCUAGGCCAGCAAGCAUUAUACUAUCGGUGCCACCAAUAUCAAGUACGCCAUAAAUAAACUAAUUCUAGUUACAUAUCGCCAUAUCCUCACACGUCAAAUACCCGUGCAAUAACAUUACCUAAAUUGGCAACCUCGUGAACAGCAAAUUUAAGCCUUCAUAAAUAGAGCGUGCCAACGAUCUCAAAACAUUCCGGUAACGGAAAAAAUGGUCAAAUCACAUUUCAUGCAACGAUAAAUUGUCCAUAGCAGUCAACCGUCCUACCCGCGAAUGCAGUGCGUGACGCCGCAGAGCUUAUUGAUGCCCCGAAGACGACAGAGAAAAAUUGGUUCAUGGUGUGAAUUUCUAUCCUGGAGACCCCAAUACCACUUGUUCCCACGGCAUUACAUCAUGCCAUGCAUACAGAACACAAAUAAACCGGCACAUGAAGAGAGUAUCGCAAUGUUGAGGUGUCGCUGAAUCGUCGUAGUCCAGAGACAUCACAUAUGCAAACAACUAAACAUGCAUAUAAAGAAUACUAGUAAGAUACCCGUGCAUUUCACGGAACACCAAGAUUGGGGGUGAACGGCGCUGGCAGCGGUCAUUACACCAGAUUGUUCCAUGACCUUCUGGAUGUUUUAGGAAGAGAUAAGGCUGAUUGUGAGAGGCAAGGAAUGGUUUGUAAAUAUGAAAACAGGUGCGUGCAUCUUUUUGCAAAACUGCAGCAGUUUGCUUUGUAUGCGUCAGAUCCAGAUCCGGCGGCUAUUGGUGAUAGAUGGCAGGCACACCAUCAUCACCAACUCCAACUUAGGUCCAACUUAGGUUUGGUCUUUAUAGGAGCAGAGAUAAAGAAGGGGACGCAAGCAAGCAGUGGGAGAAGCGAGGUGGACCUGUUCAAGGGCAGAGUGCUCCUUGUCGUCCUCGUGGCCGGCAUCAGCGUCGUCCCCCUGGGCCUCCCGCACGGGGCACAGCGGGGCGGUGGUGGCGAAGUAGUCGUCAUCGUCAUCGUCCUCAACGUCGGCCCAGGACUUGGCCGUGAGCGGCGCGGGCGUCGAGAACACCUCCGGCUUUUCCACCACCGGCGCCUGCUUCUUCUCGGCUGCCGCCGGCUUCUUCUUCUUGAGCGUCUCGAGCGCCGCGAACACGUUGCCGCUGCCGAUCCUCAGCUCCUCGGCGCCGGCCCCUCUCCUGUUCCCUCCCCCGGCCAUCUCUCUGUCAGCCACAACAACAACCGCAACUGCUGCCGCUCUGGUCUUGCCUGGGGUUCUCUUAACUCCCCGAUCUGCGGCAAGGCGGGGCACGCGGCCACGCUUGCUUGCUCCGGAUCGGGAGAAUCGGGCGCGAGGAACCAAGGAGACACACCAACGGGCAGAGCUUCCGCGGGGUUGCUUGUUGGAGGCCGGAUUGGAAUUUGCGCGAUUUGGGUUCCGUCGUCUGUUGGGUUAGCAGUGGAGAAGACGAAGAGGGCGGCGGCGGCGGCGUGCGUGCUACUCUACGCCUCUCGCUGCGUUUCGCUUUCGCCAUGGCAGAUGGUAGUACAACUCGGAUCGUAUCGUACUCUUAUCUGGAGUUGAACGGGAACCUUGGUCUUGCAGCCGACACGUGCCCUUCCUUCGGGCACGGUUUCUAUCCGUCGGAAGGCCAUGGUGGAGAUCUGAGCCGUCGGAGCUGUCGAGAGAUAUUAAGUUCACCAGGAGGCAUCAUCAACCUCUAUAACUAGAUUGGUACCACGCCUUGGCGCGGGGUGCCGGUCCCAAUGAUAUUCCCAAACAGAUAAUAAUCAAGUUUGUAGGAAGCAUGGUUCAGCUUAUAUAUUCAGAUUUUUUAGUUCAAAAGAAAGAACAAACAUUUACAUGUACAACAUGAGGGGGCGAGUACUCAGAGCAGGAAAAUAAAAAGAAAGCAAAAGCCAAACAGAGUGGCGAUAGAGAUGGUAAAACAUGGUACUACGGGUUCUUCUUCAUGUGGAAUGUGACCACUUUGUCAAAGAACUAUCAUAACAGAGCCUCUCAACGACAUGAUCAAACAUUAGUUUCUUUGCGCGUUUCUAUAACAAAAUGCAAUCAACAUGAAUAUUAUUUCAUAAAACCAAAUGGGCACUUCUCCAACACAUGUUCUGCAUAUUCUCAAUUCUGAUAAAGCCAAGUAUAAACCUGAACUUAUGGAAAUAAUAUCAGUUUAAAAACAUCCAGGAAUGUAAGUUAACUAAAACGAAUGUCAGUUUAGCUCAAUGCUACAAAUUGUAGAAUUCACAAAAAAAAAUAAGCACAAAAAGAUAUCUAAUGCAGCAAAUUGCUGAGCCAAAACAUUUUGAGCCAGAUAAAAUAACUCCAAAUUUUGUUUCUGUGACCUAGAACCCGAAUAUGUCAACGACCUGGACUGCAAGUUAUGUGACGAACCGGCCGGAAACCUUAUCAAGCUCCAUGAUGCCGGCAACCUGCAAGCCAAAACGAUGGAUGUAGCAGCGGUCAGAGAGANNNNNNNNNNNNNNNNNNNNNNNNNNNNNNNNNNNNNNNNNNNNNNNNNNNNNNNNNNNNNNNNNNNNNNNNNNNNNNNNNNNNNNNNNNNNNNNNNNNNNNNNNNNNNNNNNNNNNNNNNNNNNNNNNNNNNNNNNNNNNNNNNNNNNNNNNNNNNNNNNNNNNNNNNNNNNNNNNNNNNNNNNNNNNNNNNNNNNNNNNNNNNNNNNNNNNNNNNNNNNNNNNNNNNNNNNNNNNNNNNNNNNNNNNNNNNNNNNNNNNNNNNNNNNNNNNNNNNNNNNNNNNNNNNNNNNNNNNNNNNNNNNNNNNNNNNNNNNNNNNNNNNNNNNNNNNNNNNNNNNNNNNNNNNNNNNNNNNNNNNNNNNNNNNNNNNNNNNNNNNNNNNNNNNNNNNNNNNNNNNNNAACCUGGACUGAGUGGAGCAGCGUGGAUCUCGCAUCAAAGAGGACAGGCAACGGCGACGGCUGGCCACCGGAUCCAGCACUGCUACAUGCCAUCCAGCGCUGCAACAACAGUAAUCACCUUAUAGAAUAUCUAAAAAUGACCCUAUCUACAUGCCAAAUUAGAAAGAGUAGUCCACAGUAAAAUCGCAUGGACAAACAAAGGGUCAACACAGGCACAAAGAGUCAGGACACACACACACACACACACACACAUAGAGAGAGAGAGAGAGAGAGAGAGAGGCCGAGGAUCACCGCAUGAACAAAUAUUGAAUUCUGUAGGCAAACACAAAGACACCGGAUUCUUUAAACAACCUCUCUCUCUCUCUCUCUCUGCAUGUAUAAGUUCAUCCUAGUUCAUAACUGUUAUGUUAACCGGGUAAGCUGUAAGUAAUGUCGUCGCUUUGGUCCAAUUGCAUAAACAUGUGAUGAUCAACUUCAGAGAAGUUAAAAGGGAAGUGGGAAAACCUCAGCACAACAUAUACAACAUAACAUCUCAAGUAAACCUAUAGAAGUGACAUUGAGAAACUUUAAAAAAAGGAACAGGCUCAUCAGGGGCUUGGAAGCAUUGAUGUGAGGUCUUGACCUUGAGGGAAAUUGUCCGUGUUCUAGAAGUACCUAAAUGGAUGAAUAGAAAGAGUCACAAUAAAGCAGAAGGCGACUAAAAUGUCACAACAAAGCAUGCUAAAUUAUUGUCCACCAGGUCUUUCACAGGUUUUUAUGUAUUAUAUUUCCUUCCCAUUAGUGUAUAAGGUUGUGCACUAAGGUCACCAAGGCAAGAACAUGCAAAAAUUAAAUCGAAGUUGGUCAGAUACGCAAAUAGCAUCCUAUAUUAGUAAGCAAGAGGUGCAUACUUCCAUUUAUCAGUAGAUUUCAACAUAUGUUUAUUUUUGUAUAAAGAAUAAUAAAUGUAUAUAUAUAUAUGUGCUAGUAAAAAACUAUAAAAUCAUGUACUACAUCAGUAAAAUCGAUACGAUCCAACAUAGCACAUGCUGUGAUAAUAUGCACAGCCGGUCGACAUAGAACCUAACUCGUGCUUACCAUCAUUUACAUUAAAAAGGACGGGGAAGCUACUACAACUUCCUGUACUGGUCAUCUAAUACAAAUAAACAAUGCAGGAAAAGCCUCUUUUACUUGGAUCAUACAUAACAACAAGAGAUGGGAUGGUGACCGUGUAAAAUAAAUUACCGGGAGUGGAGAUCAGCGACAAUCGUGACUCGUCACCAUAAAAGCCAUAAGCCCUCCCACACUCAUCAUACGUAAAUACACAAGAACAUAAGAAAAUAUAUUUUUUAGGAAAAAAGUUCAAAAAUACACAUUUUUUGCUUGUGAUGAUAUACAUGCAGCAGUUAAUGUAUUAUCCAUAAAACAAAGAAUGUGUGCCUCAUAUUAAUCAUCCUUUCACACAUAACUUAACAUGCAGCAAAAAGAUUUAAUCUAUAGUCCAAGAUUAAUGAACGCAAAAUGAAUGAGUCCUUUACAGUAAGGCAAUUAUUGAUUAUAAUGGAGUGUGAAUACAUCAUAUGUUUACUUGAUGGAAAUUGCAGUCAAGAAAAGCAUAGAAUGAGUCGAGUACCUUCUGGUUCGCCCAAUUUGCUCGUGGUCAUCAAAGGUGUUCUCGAGAUCAAACAACCAAGUAUGAACUCCCGAACUUCUGACCAAAUAGCAGGGUGUACACCUUAAACCACAGAGAAUAGAGAGCCGGCCAUGUUAGAGAUUAUAUGAGGAGAGGUAGGCAAAAAAGUAAUGGUCUUAAAAUAAAAUGAGGGAUGUCUCAUAUAUCUUUACCCUUGUCAGAAUCCAGUUUAGAACAUAGGGAAUAUUUAGGGAGCCUUGUUGCAGAAAUAUAGAAUGCCAUUUUCAACCACCUAAUGUUUUUGAAGCUGAAACUGAACCGAUUGGCACUAUUGAUUUAGCACACUUCUCAGAGAUUUGAAUCCUUCCCAUGGUGCCUAAUUCCGGGCGUGUUCGGUAGCUCUCCACAGCCUCAAAAUCCUCAACUCCAUAGCCCAAAACCAGCAGCCGGCUUCUCAGUUAAAAUCCUGGAGUUACAAAUCGUUCGGUAGAGUAGCUCCUCGUUCUGGCCGUUGAAACAGGCCGCCAGCCACCUAGCUAUGAGAAAUAGCAGCUCGGGAGGGCCCAACUAGGCGUGACAGCCCAUCUACGCGUGGGAAGCCUGCUCUGGCGAACGAACGAACCGGUAACUCACUUGGCGGUGGCACUUAGAUGUAAUUCUUGGCAACUCCUGCUUCGCUGUUUUGGAGGAGCUCGAGUUUGCCAGCUCCGCGACUCCGCAAAAAUUGCACUGCAAGUUUCGCCAGCUUCUCUCGCUCAUAACCAGGAUUUGGAUCGUUCGGCUGCACAUAUCUUAUAGCAGCAAAGAAAUCUAAUGGCCAGCGCAGUCGACUGGGAGACUUGACAGACUGAGUUUUAGCUUGCCUGUUUCAAUAAAGCUAGCUAUCAAGGCCUUUCCAACAACAAAAAACCACUGGAUGAAUUGUACAGAAGAAAAAAAUCAGUAGAAAUAACUCAACCUGACGCACACUAUUAGGGAGUGUACCAGAUUCCGUUCAAGAAAAAUCAAAACAACAAGCAAAAUCAAAGCAAAUCAGCAAACCAACGCAAGCAACCACAAAACAAAACAUGUAGUACGAAAUACCCACAUUUACCAUGUACUCCCUCGGUCCGAAAAUACUUGUCGCAUAAAUGGAUAAAGAUGGGUGUAUCUAGAACUAAAAUAUGUCUAGCCAUUUCGCUGACAAGUAUUUCACCACGGAGGGAGUAUUCAAAAGGGUUUCUGUCAUGAACAAUUCAGAGCUCAGCACACAACAAGUCCAUCUAUAGAGAAUUCCAAGAUGCGCACCAGAGGGUGGCCUCCUCCUAGUGGAGGCGCACAGUAUCUAAGGAAUUGCAUAAUCUGAGCAGUAAUUCACCGCAGGGGCUGCUGAUUAUAGUGGUUCUUGUCUUUCUUCUUCGCUGCCACAAGCUUUGCUCUCCUAGCGGCCGCCUCAGAUGCUGCAAUCUUUGCUGCUGCGUCCAUCUCUUUGCUCGAUUUCUUUUUCUUCAUUGAUGCUACUUUCUUUAUGCGCUCCUUGACAUCCACUGAAGCAACAUCUUCAUCAGGUUCUACACCAGCAGCAUUGUCGACCACAUUGUUCUGAUCCAGUGUUUCUUCUGCCUCCUUUGAAGACUUGUCUUUCUUAGCUUUCUUCUUCUUGGAGGUCUUACUCUCCAGAGGAGCGGAUGCAUCUUCCUUUUUCCCUGCUUCAGCAGCCUGGCCCAUACCUUCCUUGUCUGCAAAAUAUGCUCAACAUGUGAACACAAUGCUUAAUAAACCUUCAGAAUCACCGUCUUCAGGCCUUACAAAAGAAGUCACAAAAUAUUAACAGCAUAACAGUUACCAAUAUAAAAACAUAUCUAGGUAUGCUCAAUUUUCACAGAAUGUUUCUUCUGGAAAAAUUUAAUGGCAAGAAGAAGAUAUUUUUACUUACCAUUUGUUUCAUCUUGAGUAGCAUUACUUGAUUCAUAUGAAAUUCCCAACUCAGCCAAUACAGCAUCAAGCUCUUCCAACUCCUUUUUCUUUAACUCCUUCUUGGAGAGCUGUCUUUCGGUAUCUUUAGGAGGUACUAGUGGAGCUAUAGCUUUCUGAACUGCCGGCUCAGAAGGGACAGCAUCUCCUGCUUCAUGUUCAUCCUCAGCAGCAGCAUCAACCUCAUCAUCAAGGCUAUCAUCUUCACUCUCAAUUUCCUGCAGUAUACAAUUGGCAUAUGGAGAGUUAACACUUAACACUACAAAAUAUAAAGGGCACAUACUAUAUUGUACUUCAGAGCAGUAGAUGUUUUGUGUGAUCCCAUUCAAUUUGACUUGAAAUCUAAAAAAAUUCUCGAAUGUAGGAGCAGCACUCCCAAUUUCACUCAUCAUGAAACCUAGAAUCUAAAGCUAACACCGCAAGAUAUGGAGGAAGCUAAAUAAAACAGAUCAAUUGAAGUACUUUUUCUGUUUUCAGGUAGUUGGAAUUGCUCACAAAUCACAAUAACAUGACCUUGAAUUCAGAUUUUUCCGGAGGUACAGCCCAGUAAAGUCGCUUCUUCUGAUACUAAGAGUAUUCUAC